AAAGUACAGUCGUGUUUAUUUACCUGGACGACUCUUUGUUUUUCUGCUGGACAUAGGCUGAACGCUAGCACAUGGAAGAAGGUCAGAAGCCACGCCCCCUCACCUGACUGAAGACCCUCAGACAGGUGAGAGAGAGCUGGAAAUGGGAUCCUUUCCAACCUGAAGUGCUCCUUACUGAACUCAGAACGGCUUUGUGUGACAAACAAGAAGUUUAAAACAAGAACAUUUACACAAAGGUAGAAAUAGAGG
Long non-coding RNA from Centropristis striata (black sea bass), 249 nucleotides. RefSeq lists it as uncharacterized. The transcript has 3 exons. Lineage: Eukaryota; Metazoa; Chordata; Actinopteri; Perciformes; Serranidae. The record is from RefSeq and is a predicted model, not a curated record.